UCUGGCUAGGCUGUGGCCUAGGCCAGCAGCUGUAGCUCAUAUUAAACCCCUAGCCUGGGAACUUCCAUAUGCCGCCAGUGCGGCCCUUAAAAAAAAAAAAAGGCAAGGAAAUUGUUCUACUUCAAGAUUUUGAGAAGAGUUUGUGCUGAAAAAGAAAAAUUCAUUAAGCAAACAAGAAGUUUAAUCAUUCUUGAAAUGUUCUCCUGUCAGACAAUAUUUUGACAGUGAUAUCCAAGAAUAUCAUCUUGGGGAAAACAGUAUUUCCUUUUCUCUUGAAAACUCUAGUCUAUUUAUUACCACAGAGUUUAUUCAACCUAGACCAAAAAUGUAAACGCUUAUCACCUGAUUAACAACCAAUGCAUUUAUUACUUUAGUGUUCUAAAGCUGAUUAAUAGGGAGAAAAAAAGGAUUCCCUGGUGGCUCAGUGGGUUAAGGAUCUGGCAUUGUCACUGCUGUGGGCUCUGGUUACCGUAGCAGUACAUGUUCAAUCCCUGGCCCAGGAACUUCUGUAUGCUGUGGGAACAGCCCCUUCCCCUCUCCCCCCCAAAAAAAAUAGAGAAAAAAAGUGUGUGGCAUGUUUCCCUGGAAAUUUUUGUUUUCAGCUAUAAUCAACAUAAUUAGCAAUACUUUGGGAUCUUUCAAACAGAUUAGACUCCGUCAUUAUAAAAUCCCAUUUCUUACUGGGCUGGAAUAUAUCACAUACUGAAUAUGUCUCCCCAGGAUAGACUGUGGGAAGGUCAGAGCCUGAAGUGUCUUGUUUAACCUUUGGAUAUCUUUGGAUGUGACUUGUUUUGCCAUGUCUCAGGCCUUCGGAUAUGAAAACAGCCUUGCAGAGCACAGGCAGCCGUUUCCUCAGCCUCCUGCAUGUGGUGAACUUGGAUUUUCCCAGUGGAGACAGAAGACUUAGGAACACAGGAUGGCCUGUUUCUGCUCCGUGAUGUUUGUUAAAGCAACAAAGAAAGCAGCAGGAAGAGUCAAAGGCGAAGAGCUCAACUGUCCAGUGUAGCAGCCACCCAUGUAGUUCUGUAAGUUUAAAUGAACUAAAAUUAGCUGAAGUUUAAAAUUCCACUUCCUCACUGACACUAGCUGUGUUACAGUCACUCAAUAGCCUCAUGUGGUAGUAAGUUACCAUAUGACCCCAAACGGAAGACUUCCAUGAUCACAGAAGGUUCUAUGGGUCUCUGUGAUCUGAAGGUCUGUCUAGUGGUGGAUGUUGGCUGUUAGCCUGAACUUCAGUUGAGGCUGGAAUUCUGUGUGGUUUCUCCAUGUGGUUUGGGCUUUCUGGCAACAUGGCAGCUUAGUUCCCAAGAUAAGUGCAGACAGAGAUGGAGAGAAGCCGGUGGAAGCCAUACUGUCUCUUAUAUGACAGUAUAAGAGACAACUUCCACCACAUUCUGUUAGAACAAUUACCAAGAUGUAUCUGGGUUCAAGGGGCGGGAACCUAGACUGCCACCACUCAGCGGAAGAAUAGCAGCAUCAUAUUGUAAGAAGGUCAAGUGAGAUGGCGUAUGUAUUGCUGUGGCAUCUUCAGAAACCUGAAAAUGAAAUCUGCCACAGAAAGGCUGUGUAACCUGCACAUUUCUUUACUAAUGAGAUUACUGAAGGAGGUGAUUAUUCAGUGGUCAUGAUGCAUAAUUGAAAACAUGCCUGCAUGCAUAGAUUUUUAAAGAUUACAAAAUACUACCUAGCCACAUGGGAAAAUAUGAGAUGAUGAAAAGAACACCAGACAGUAGAACACCUUGACUACAAAGAUGGAAAUACAUAUCUUCCCACUGAGAAUGUUUGAAAUAGAUUAAGAAGGCUUCGAAAGAGCGUUUUUAUAUCGAUAAAGGUGCUUAAGUUUGAAAUACAAAAAAAAAAAAAAAAAAAAAGAUUUUGCUUGCCAAGCA
Non-coding RNA from Sus scrofa (pig), 1889 nucleotides. Lineage: Eukaryota; Metazoa; Chordata; Mammalia; Artiodactyla; Suidae. The record is from RefSeq and is a predicted model, not a curated record.